GUAAGUUUUUGAGGCAUGUAAUU
RNAcentral lists this non-coding RNA (23 nucleotides) under Cricetulus griseus (Chinese hamster). The record is from RNAcentral. Lineage: Eukaryota; Metazoa; Chordata; Mammalia; Rodentia; Cricetidae.